Molecule: ribosomal RNA, 460 nt
Filed under: uncultured bacterium
Lineage: Bacteria
Description: partial 16S ribosomal RNA
Rfam family: Bacterial small subunit ribosomal RNA
Source: RNAcentral
CCUACGGGAGGCUGCAGUGAGGAAUAUUGGUCAAUGGGCGCGAGCCUGAACCAGCCAAGUAGCGUGAAGGAUGACUGCCCUACGGGUUGUAAACUUCUUUUAUAAAGGAAUAAAGUGAGGCACGUGUGCCCUUUUGUAUGUACUUUAUGAAUAAGGAUCGGCUAACUCCGUGCCAGCAGCCGCGGUAAUACGGAGGAUCCGAGCGUUAUCCGGAUUUAUUGGGUUUAAAGGGAGCGUAGAUGGGUUGUUAAGUCAGUUGUGAAAGUUUGGGGCUCAACCGGAAAAUUGCAAUUGAAACUGGCAGUCGUGAGUACAGUUGAGGUAGGCGGAAUUCGUGGUGUAGCGGUGAAAUGCUUAGAUAUCACGAAGAACUCCGAUUGCGAAGGCAGCUUACUAAACUGCCACUGACAUUGAUGCUCGAAAGUGUGGGUAUCGAACAGGAUUAGAUACCCUUGUAGUC